RNAcentral lists this ribosomal RNA (472 nucleotides) under uncultured bacterium. RNAcentral describes it as "SSU rRNA". It matches the Rfam family "Bacterial small subunit ribosomal RNA", at positions 26 to 518 of the family's 1533-position model. The record is from RNAcentral.
AGAGCGAACGCUGGCGGCGCGCCUAACACAUGCAAGUCGAGCGAGAACCAGGGCUUGCCCUGGGGAAAGCGGCGAACGGGUGCGUAACACGUGAGCAACCUGCCCCAAAGACCGGGACAACCCGAGGAAACUCGGACUAAUACCGGAUGCCCUCACCGGGCCGCAUGGUCUGGUGAGGAAAUGGAUUCCGCUUUGGGAUGGGCUCGCGGUCUAUCAGCUUGUUGGUGGGGUAACGCCUACCAAGGCGGCGACGGAUAGCUGGUCUGAGAGGACGAUCAGCCACACUGGGACUGAGACACGGCCCAGACUCCUACGGGAGGCAGCAGUGGGGAAUCUUGCGCAAUGGGGGAAACCCUGACGCAGCGACGCCGCGUGCGGGAUGAAGGCCUUCGGGUUGUAAACCGCUUUCAGCAGGGACGAAAUUGACGGUACCUGCAGAAGAAGGCCCGGCCAACUACGUGCCAGCAGCCGC